Molecule: ribosomal RNA, 301 nt
Filed under: uncultured bacterium
Lineage: Bacteria
Description: partial 16S ribosomal RNA
Rfam family: Bacterial small subunit ribosomal RNA
Source: RNAcentral
CAGUAGCCGCGGUAAUACGAAGGGUGCAAGCGUUAAUCGGAAUUACUGGGCGUAAAGCGUGCGUAGGCGGUGAGUUAAGUCUGCUGUGAAAUCCCCGGGCUCAACCUGGGAAUGGCAGUGGAUACUGGCUCGCUAGAGUGUGUCAGAGGAUGGUGGAAUUCCCGGUGUAGCGGUGAAAUGCGUAGAGAUCGGGAGGAACAUCAGUGGCGAAGGCGGCCAUCUGGGACAACACUGACGCUGAGGCACGAAAGCGUGGGGAGCAAACAGGAUUAGAUACCCGAGUAGUCCCUGUCUCUUAUUU